Molecule: transfer RNA, 72 nt
Filed under: Sphaerodactylus townsendi
Lineage: Eukaryota; Metazoa; Chordata; Lepidosauria; Squamata; Sphaerodactylidae
Description: tRNA-Ser
Rfam family: tRNA
About the family: Transfer RNA (tRNA) molecules are approximately 80 nucleotides in length. Their secondary structure includes four short double-helical elements and three loops (D, anti-codon, and T loops).
Source: RNAcentral
GGAGGGGAAGACCUAUGGUAGAGCAUCUGUUUUGAACACAGAAGGUCCCAGGUUCGAUCCCUGGCAUCUUCA